CUUGGAUUGAGAGUUUGAUCCUGGCUCAGGACGAACGCUGGCGGCGUGCCUAAUACAU
This 58-nucleotide ribosomal RNA is filed under the name Alicyclobacillus vulcanalis. Its description in RNAcentral is "16S rRNA. Bacterial SSU". The record is from RNAcentral. Lineage: Bacteria; Bacillati; Bacillota; Bacilli; Caryophanales; Alicyclobacillaceae.